GCAGAGUAGACAGCCUUGCGUUAAGUGUCCGGCGGACGGGGAGUUGCCGUCGGAACGAAGGAUUUUCCACGGUUUGGCUGUCGCAUCCCGCUGC
RNAcentral lists this non-coding RNA (94 nucleotides) under bovine gut metagenome. Its description in RNAcentral is "THF riboswitch". It matches the Rfam family "THF (Tetrahydrofolate) riboswitch aptamer". From Rfam's summary of the family: THF riboswitch presents a pseudoknot that joins P1-P2 and the loop of P3 and two THF binding. The record is from RNAcentral.